Molecule: unclassified non-coding RNA, 238 nt
Filed under: Hevea brasiliensis (rubber tree)
Lineage: Eukaryota; Viridiplantae; Streptophyta; Magnoliopsida; Malpighiales; Euphorbiaceae
Source: RNAcentral
GGAUGAGGAAAUGGAUGAAUUUAACUAUGAAGAUUCAGAUGAUGAACUGAUUGCUGAGAGCAGUAACAUCCAACUGCCCAAAGUAGAAGACAGAGAUGUUGGUAGCAUUUUGAUUGGGUUGAAGGAAGUUCGUCUGAGAUACAAAGAUUUGAGGCAAGCUUUUGGUUCCCGUGAAAGGCGGUUUAUGGAGACUCAACUACACAAAUACAUGAGGGCUGUUGGUGCUGAGCUUUCUGAA